Non-coding RNA from Salmo salar (Atlantic salmon), 159 nucleotides. NCBI's taxonomy places the organism in Eukaryota, Metazoa, Chordata, Actinopteri, Salmoniformes, Salmonidae. The record is from RefSeq and is a predicted model, not a curated record.
GGGGAUGUUAGUACUGUCUGUCAGAGACAGUCAGGUAGAGGGGAUGUUAGUACUGUCUGUCAGAGACAGUCAGGUAGAGGGGAUGUUAGUACUGUCUGUCAGAGACAGUCAGGUAGAGGGGAUGUUAGUACUGUCUGUCAGAGACAGUCAGGUAGAGGG